AGCGUGGGCGUAGAGCGUUGUCGUUUGAGCCAGCAAACACUGCAAGAGAAAGAAUGGAUAAGCCUAACAAGAAAAAGAGAAAAAAGACCACACCGGGGACAUUGAGAGGAUGGGAUGGGACAAGGCUGGGCUUAAAGCAGAGGUUGAGGCGUACCAGGGUGGUCAUCUUAUCAAUUACAGUGCUCUAGCUAGGAAGUAUAAUGUGACAGACAGCAGUGGACAAGUUGCACUUAACGGCGGACAGAUUGUGAAGGAGUGGCUAGUGAGCAACAGAGUAGAUGUUGACCGGUUUAGUACCAAACGCAAAAACCCCAUGGAUUCAGUAAUUAGAAGAAGGAAAAGGAGAAGGCAAGGGGGAGAGAUCAGCAUACCCUGUAAGCCAGACAAGAAAACACUGAAAGCACAGCUAUUGCAGAAAAUCCACACAAAGGAGUACAGUAUAGGAGAACGGAUUGUACCACGAAAGUAUGAAAAGCUUAUCCUUACAAAGGAUCUGAAAAUAAAAAAGAAAAAUGCCCCUUGCCAAUAUCCGAAGGUCAAUGUUAAAAAAAAAAAAAACAGGAGAAGUUUCUCCGGGGGACAACAGAUGAAGGAAUAGCAGAGCUUACAGCAGAACAGCUAAGAACAAGGCUUUUGCAGAUCAACGAGUAUGUGGAUGGUAUGGCAGUCCCAGAUAUGAGGGAGAAGCUAAAAAACCAUGAAAGAACAAGGCAUCUGAUGGUAUGGCUAGAUAACUCAACAGUUAUCUGGAUAUCUGGUGUGCCUUAUGACCUGUCUUUAUGACAAGGCAAUGUUCCUUACAGAUGAGGAGUAUGCUGCAAAAUAUGGAAGACGGGUUAAUGUGCAAAUGCUGGUUGAAGAACCAGAGCUCCAUUUUAUUGCAAAAUGUGGUAGCUCUGGCCAUGAGCUUUUAUUAUAUUCGGAGACAAGGCUCCAAUGUGUCAGAGAGCUGUGUGAUGACAACAGUAUUUCAUACACUGAUAUCAUGAGGUUUCGUCAGGGAGACUCUCCAUUGCGAGCUUUUGAGACAGAACAACAGAAAGGAGGAAACGACUUCUGUUCUUCCUGUGAAGUACACUGUGACAUGACCAGCGACUUGGCCUACACUCUGAAUUUGGAGGCCAUAUCCCUUACUAAGAGAUAACAGGAAAUUCUUCGGGGGACCGUCUCCCUCUCUAAAUCAAAACAGAAAAAACUAAACCACUGGAAGAAGAGCUUGAAAGGGAACUAACAUCAAGGGGCAUUUAUGAAGGAAAAACGAAAAUAGAGAUGCAGAAACUACUCACUGAAGAAAUGAAAGGAAAACAAAGAGUGCCUGCACUUCUCUUUAAUACCCCAACAGAAUCCCUGACCAACCUUAAUCUAGAACCUUAUGAAGUCAUACCAUGCGAGCCUCUUCAUGAUCUUGGCAAUCACACUGCAAAUUUCUUUGCUGAAUUUCCAAGCCAUCUGAUGGCUGAAAAAAAGACUUUGAUAGAGGAGACAAUCACACUCAGUCUGGCAGGGAAAGACAGCAAGAGAUGUGUGGACCAAAGGGAAGCCCUUAUAAAAACUGCUGGGGUGGCACACCAGUCCAAUAUCAUGUCCAAGAAAGCCAUGGCUGCCAUUGACACCUUGGUCGAGAUGCAGAGACUCCACUACGCGGCAGACAGCCAAAGAUCUCCGGCCUCAAUUCUUAGAUAAAGCAACCAAGCCUGGUACCAUUCCAUAUUGUUGAUAGAUUUUGUGAAGGACACAAAGAAGCUAACCUCAAGAAAACUGUAUGGAGUGUACUUUCAUAACCUGACAGCCCAUGCUAUCAGUACAUUGAGCUUAAUGUCUGGACAAGCUGCUAAUGCAGAACGAGAAAGGAUCUUUAACAAGAAAGGAUCUUUAACAGUAUCAAGCGCAUCACGAAGCAGACAUCGAAUUACCAUCAAGGGCAAAUAAUACCUAACCUCUUCAUCCGCUUGCAAGCAGAGCGCCAGAUAGGCCUGCAACGAGAUGAUGUGUUUAGACAGCAAGACCAUGUAAGCUACUUGCCUCCUAUCUCCCAAGAACACUGUCAUACCUGAGGAGCUCAUUCAAAGGCAUAGCCAUGCAUGGCAAAGUCACCUCCAAGAAAUAAGUGACUUCUUAGUUGAAGGAGAAGGUGUUUGGUGGAAGAAAGUUGAAGAUGGUUGUGGGCCCUCUCUUCACCACUUUCGAUCCAGCAACUUGAAAAAAGAGGCUGAGAGACUCGACAAUUGCUGGAAACAUAGCUAGCAGCAUCCCCCUCCCUACUCACCUCCUAAGAAUCGACCAAGAAGAUGGGACAACACUACGAAUAAGAAUUGACCCAGAAUCAGUUCCUGCUGACAAAA
Molecule: long non-coding RNA, 2342 nt
Organism: Nematostella vectensis (starlet sea anemone)
Lineage: Eukaryota; Metazoa; Cnidaria; Anthozoa; Actiniaria; Edwardsiidae
Exons: 2
Source: RefSeq, a predicted model, not a curated record